AAUUGGAAGCAAGAUCAAGCUAAUUUGAAGCUCCUCGAAGGUGAGAUUUCAGAAACUUUUCUUCUUCGAUUCUCCCUCAUUUCUCAUCCAUUUUGAUUGAUUGUUGGUUUUAGAUCAAGCUAAUUUGAAGCUCCUCGAAGGUGAGAUUUCAGAAACUUUUCUUCUUCGAUUCUCCCUCAUUUCUCAUCCAUUUUGAUUGAUUGUUGGUUUGCUGAAGUCCUACCAAUGUAGGCAACAAAAUUGAGUUGCUUUGAGGUCAAAUCGAAGCAACUCAGUUCAUGAUCCUCAAAAUUCAAAUCCCUGUAUCUUUUCAUAUACUUGAAAUUGGACAAAAUUGAGGCCAG
Molecule: long non-coding RNA, 344 nt
Filed under: Lathyrus oleraceus (garden pea)
Lineage: Eukaryota; Viridiplantae; Streptophyta; Magnoliopsida; Fabales; Fabaceae
Description: Pisum sativum (pea) long non-coding RNA (PSAT_LNC011851)
Source: RNAcentral